GUACUUCCUCUUCUGUCAGUUCUGAAAAGCUACCAGACUCAGUGAGAGGCAAGGACUUUUCAUCUUUAGGGCAUUCUGACCACGUCCUGCUUCAGAGAGAUUGUUCCCGGCGUCUCAGUGCUAUGGGGAGCAGGUUCCUCCUGGUCCUGCUCUCAGGUCUCACUGUCUUACUGGCUCUGCCAGGAUCAGAAGCCAAGAAUUCUGGAGCUUCCUGUCCUCCAUGCCCUAAAUAUGCCAGCUGCCACAACAGCACCCACUGUACUUGUGAAGAUGGCUUUCGGGCCAGGUCUGGCAGGACAUACUUUCAUGAUUCCUCUGAGAAGUGUGAAGAUAUUAAUGAAUGUGAAACCGGGCUGGCAAAGUGCAAGUAUAAAGCAUAUUGUAGGAAUAAAGUUGGAGGUUACAUCUGUAGCUGUUUGGUAAAAUAUACUUUAUUCAACUUUCUGGCUGGUAUUAUAGAUUAUGAUCAUCCGGAUUGUUACGAGAACAAUAGUCAAGGGACGACACAGUCAAACGUGGAUAUUUGGGUGAGUGGGGUGAAGCCUGGAUUUGGGAAACAGCUGGUACGUAUAACUAUGCCAUUUUCCUACCCAAACAUUAACAUGUCUUCCUGUGAUUUUUAGGGUAGGGUAGUUCUAUCCAGGGGUAAUUUUGUCCUCUGUCCCAAGGUCAUCUGUCAAUGUCUGGGGACACUUUUGGUUGUCAUACCUUGGGGGUGAUGUGUGUGACUGGCAUCUGGUGGAUGGAGACCAGGGAUACAGCUCAACAUCCUACAGUGCCCAGGACAGCCUCCCACAAUCAAGAAGUGCCUAGUGCCACAUGUCCAUAGAGAUAGAGAAAUACAAGCGUAGGGGGAAAGUGCCUCAGCUGGCAUUCAAAGACCUACAUCAAGCACCUAGAUUCUCAAUGCCACACGCACCUUGUAGCACCUUAAUAAAUAUCGUUGCCUUCUGGGCUCCCCACUCCAACACUUGUGCAUAUUCCCUAUUUCUUACAUUUCAGUAAGAGUCAAUCUAAUUAGCUUAAUUUUUUUGGAAGGAAAAUCUGAGAAGAAAUGGAAGCAGAGAGGACUUUGCAAGAAGGGCUACUCAACUAAUUCAAAGCGUGGAGUUGAGCAUCUGGAAUGCGAGUUUUGCUUCUCCAGGAAAGGGUCAAAUUUCUGAAUUUGAUAUAGUCUAUGAAACCAAGAGGUGCAAUGAGACAAGGGAGAAUGCUUUUCUGGAAGCUGGAAAUAACACCAUGGAUAUCAACUGUGCUGAUGCUUUAAAAGGAAACCUAAGAGAGAGCACUGCAGUUGCCCUAUCACUUAUCAAUCUCUUGGGGAUAUUCUGAAUGCAUCCUUUUUUAGUAAACGAAAAGGGAUGCAGGAAGUAAAACUGAACUCUUACGUUGUGAGCGGCACCGUCGGUUUGAAGGAAAAAAUUUCCCUCUCUGAACCUGUGUUCCUGACUUUUCGCCAUAAUCAGCCUGGUGACAAGAGAACAAAACAUAUCUGUGUCUACUGGGAGGGAUCAGAGGGAGGCCGCUGGUCCACGGAGGGCUGCUCUCAUGUGCACAGCAACGGUUCUUACACCAAAUGCAAGUGCUUCCAUCUGUCCAGCUUUGCCGUCCUCGUGGCUCUUGCCCCCAAGGAGGACCCUGUGCUGACCGUGAUCACCCAGGUGGGGCUGACCAUCUCUCUGCUGUGCCUCUUCCUGGCCAUCCUCACCUUCCUCCUGUGCCGGCCCAUCCAGAACACCAGCACCUCCCUCCAUCUAGAGCUCUCCCUCUGCCUCUUCCUGGCCCACCUCCUGUUCCUGACGGGCAUCAACAGAACUGAGCCUGAGGUGCUGUGCUCCAUCAUUGCAGGGCUGCUGCACUUCCUCUACCUGGCUUGCUUCACCUGGAUGCUCCUGGAAGGGCUGCACCUCUUCCUCACCGUCAGGAACCUCAAGGUGGCCAACUACACCAGCACGGGCAGAUUCAAGAAGAGGUUCAUGUACCCUGUAGGCUACGGGAUCCCAGCUGUGAUUAUUGCUGUGUCAGCAAUAGUUGGACCCCAGAAUUAUGGAACAUUUACUCAAUAAACCUGGUGUUCUACUUCCAAGUUCUGUGGAUUUUGAGAAGCAAACUUUCCUCCCUCAAUAAAGAAGUUUCCACCAUUCAGGACACCAGAGUCAUGACAUUUAAAGCCAUUUCUCAGCUAUUUAUCCUGGGCUGUUCUUGGGGCCUUGGUUUUUUUAUGGUUGAAGAAGUAGGGAAGACGAUUGGAUCAAUCAUUGCAUACUCAUUCACCAUCAUCAACACCCUUCAGGGAGUGUUGCUCUUUGUGGUACACUGUCUCCUUAAUCGCCAGGUUCGAAUGGAAUAUAAAAAGUGGUUUAGUGGGAUGCGGAAAGGGGUAGAAACUGAAAGCACUGAGAUGUCUCGCUCUACUACCCAAACCAAAACGGAAGAAGUGGGGAAGUCCUCAGAAAUCUUUCAUAAAGGAGGCACUGCAUCAUCAUCUGCAGAGUCAACCAAGCAACCGCAGCCACAGGUUCAUCUCGUCUCUGCUGCUUGGCUAAAGAUGAACUGACCUGGCAAGUGCCAUGGCAAUGACCCGGAAGUUACCGCUCCUUUCCGUUUGUCUACAGCGCCCCUGUGGUCACACAUAGAUUGGACAAAUGCCACUAUUUCUAGCUUUCCUGUGAAAAGUCUAGGCUCAUUCACCUAUUUUGGCUUUUUAUGUUCAUAGAAAGAACAAGACAUUUGGGAGAAUUCUUAGAUCCAGAGUCCAGUAGUGUGGCACGUGCAAUGAAGUGUCGGAAGGAUGCAUUUUAAAGAUGGCGGGCGGGAGAAGUGGAUUUUCUUCUUGCAGCUACUGCCACCUUGCCAGAAACUCACUAACUGGCAUCUGGAUUCAGCUCAUAGUUCCCUUUCUGGCCUCUCUGCUGUAUUUUAUGCUCCCAAAGAUCUUACAUUAACACUCCACAUUCACAUAAUUCAACAAUUUUCAUAUGGAUCAGUAUUAAAGAGGGUGUUGCAUUUUGCAAUACAAAAAUGCAUUAUCAGGUGCUGGAGAGGAUGUGGAGAAAUAGGAACACUUUUACACUGUUGGUGGGACUGUAAACUAGUUCAACCAUCGUGGAAGUCAGUGUGGCGAUUCCUCAGGGAUCUAGAACUAGAAAUACCAUUUGACACAGCUAUCCCAUUACUGGGUAUAUACCCAAAGGACUAUAAAUCAUGCUGCUAUAAA
This is a long non-coding RNA of Homo sapiens (human), 3217 nucleotides long. The record is from Ensembl. NCBI's taxonomy places the organism in Eukaryota, Metazoa, Chordata, Mammalia, Primates, Hominidae.